UACAUCACGUUGAAAGACCGAUCCCCCGUACGAUCACCGAAGUUAAGCAACGUCGAACCUGGUCAGUACCUAGAUGGGUGACCGCUUGGGAAUACCAGCAGCUGUAA
This 107-nucleotide ribosomal RNA is filed under the name Acanthosepion pharaonis. Lineage: Eukaryota; Metazoa; Mollusca; Cephalopoda; Sepiida; Sepiidae. The record is from RNAcentral.